This is a long non-coding RNA of Musa acuminata AAA Group (dessert banana), 3534 nucleotides long. RefSeq lists it as uncharacterized. The record is from RefSeq and is a predicted model, not a curated record. Lineage: Eukaryota; Viridiplantae; Streptophyta; Magnoliopsida; Zingiberales; Musaceae. The transcript is spliced from 4 exons.
CGGAAGGAGAGAGAGGAAAGAGUACGAUCGAUCCGAUCCGAUCCGAUCCGAGAUCGAAGACUUCGAAUCUUUCUCGUGUUCUUCCGUUUCGGGGGAUGAAUCGAUACCGAUUUGCUCCGCGGAUUCCCCUACGGAUUCGAUUGGUGCCGUUCCCAGGUCCCGGAUGCCGGUGUCCUGAAUCAUCAAGACCAGCGAAUCAUUCCGAUCGCGGUACGUUUCCCUUUCACAGGGCAAUGCGAUUUGGCGGUUUUCUUUGAUUCCACCGCGGAAUCCCGUUGAGAUUGAUGUUGGUGACCUUCGAUUGCGGAGCGGAGUUCUUGAGUUUUCCGUUGGCUUCUGAAAGGUUUCGCAUCUCCUUACAGGUUCGGGAACACCGGUCGCGAAUAGUUUACGAGGUCGAGGGUUUUUUUGGGAUCUUAUUUAGAUUUACCGGGUUUAUGAGAAGAGGAUUAAUUAGAUGACAAGAAGCAAAGGCGAUUUGAGUCGAGAUCGAGUGCUUCUCGUAUUCUUCUUUGGGUGACACAACUGCGAAGACUUUGAAGAUUUUGUUGUGGUUGAAACUGAUGCGGGUUUCUAAAAACAGCAGAUUGAGGUGAACGGAUUUAUUUGGGGGGUUUCUGCGAUUGAGAGGAUCUUGCAGAGAUUGAUUUUCUUCGUCGAGAGAUAUAUCUAUGGGCCUUUGAAGGUAUUAGUCGCAGUUGAAUGUGAUGAAAAUUCUGGGUUUUCUGAAGCCAGACCGGUAGACUAUUACUAGACCUAAAAGAUUUAGUUGAAGAUUGUGUUAAAAAUUGCAAGAAUUUUAAUGGCCAAGGAUCUCGAGCAGAUCGAAAUAAAUUAAAGAUCUUGGAUAUGGGGAAGCAUCUGGUGCUACGAAUCAAGUGUCAAAUACUGCUAAUGGGGAGAAUAGAGAUCAUGAACUAAAGUUGGCAUGAGCAGCCGACAAAAUAUCAAUGGUACAAAAUUGCAAUUUAUUCAACCUGUAACAGAAGAGUAGAAAAAUGCUGUAUCGGGCAAUGUCUUUGGUGCUUGUUAUCCAUGGAAAGUUAUACUAAGGCUCGAUGGAGUAGAUUUGGGCAUGCCACUCUUUAUAUGCUCGAGCAAGAUUUUUUUUUUGUGUUUGAUGUUCAAGAUAAGGCAACUAAACAACUAGUGGUAGAGAUGGGACCUUAUUUUUUUGGCUGUAAGCCUUUGGUUUCAAAGCCUUGGGGACCUGUUUUUGUUAUGAAAGAAGAGAAGAUAAUAUUAUACCUAUACGGAUCAGUUACAAGGAGUGCCUUUGUUCUUUGAUCAGUUUACAUUUAGAAAGGAGAGACUUUUCGUUUGCUUGAAGUUGUGUGGAGAUCAGUUACCUCAAAGCUGUUCAGGUUUUCAAUGGUGAUAUUUGUCGAUCAACCUACUGCUUAUGAAUGGGCACCUUUAAGUUGUAAAUUCUGCAGUUGUUUGGGUGAUAUUUAAUGAUAAAUGUAAGAAGGGGUCUCAAAUUAUUGGUAUAAGGCAGAAGAAGAAAUCUGUUAUCGAUAAUAAUCUUAGAACUAUGCUUUUACAGCAUGAAAUUUAUAACCACUUGGGGUUUCAUAUAUUAACUAUAUCUUCUGCUUGCCAGAUAAGCUUUCAACUGCAUAUAGAAGUAUGGUGCCCUAAAACAAGAUUGCUAUAUUAGUUAUCAGCACUCUCUUCACCAUAUGGAGAGAGAGAGAGAGAGAACCUUGCAUCAAUUUUAUGUGUUUAUUAUACUUCCAUCAAAUGACCGGAUCUAUUGUGUGAAAGGACUUACCAGUUUGGCUCCUAGUUCUUUUAAAGCACCAGUCAGAUUCAACUCCAUGACUUUUGCAGACGUUCCAACAAGAGCUAGUAACCAUCCAGCAUCUAGUUUCAAUUCAGGAUCUCCAACCUCUUUUGCUGCUUAUACUGAACAUUAAACAGUUACGUGGAUCCUUGAUGUUAUGGAAGUUCCAGAAAAUUUCCACCAAAUCAAGCUCCAAAAGUGCCUUACAUGUAUAAUCAACCUAUAAGAAGGGAUGGGUACAGCACAAGGUUUUCUCAGGUGGACUAUAGAAGGGUUACAUUUACGAGAAAAAUCCCAGUUACGCCUCUAAUUGCUGACAGAGUUGAUGCUACUGAAUACCAUCAAACUGGAAGUUUUUUCAACUGUCCCUCUUCCUCUUGCUCAGAUAGCACAAAUGUUAUUUCAAGUACUGAAUUCUUGUUUUGGACACCAUAAACAUGCUAGCCAGCUACGGGAAUGAUAAAAGCAAUUAUAUUGCUGGCGAUGGACUGCAGAAGAAAUCAAGACUUUGGCAUAAUGACGAAUAUCAUUCUCAAUUCAUGUCAACUUGGUUCUUUGCUUCAAGAAAUAUAACUUAUGAUUUUUAUUCAACCUAUAAGACUUCUGAUCCAAGAAUGACAGAACGGUGGAACCAUUUUGUUGCACCCAUGGAACCCCAGUGACAGGUUACAUCCUCAGGCUAGUCACCUUAGAAUAGUUGGUUAAACGAUUUUGUUGUUAGGUUAUGUGUCUUAUUUAUACUUUUAGUUUGUGUUCAUGAGAUGAACCAGCUCACGACAAGAGGCAUGUUUAUGGUGGUACCAUGGCGAUACUGCAUAUUUUCUCCAUUUCAAUCAGAACAGAAAUGCAAGUGGUCAUCUGCCUGCUUUUCAAUGUCGUUCCAUCCGAGUUAUGGUGCCAGCUCAAAGUAGCCACACCCAGAUGGUAAUCCCUUAUAACACCAUUUCAAGCUAUUCAUGCAUGGGGGGUGUCGAUUGCAUCUGAUAAUUGAGUGCCGAUAGGAGUGGAAGCAGGUGCACCUUCCAGACAAUUGUGGCUACUGCUUAUCCUAGGGAAUAUCAUAGAGCUUUUCAUCAGAGAUCCCAAUCUAUGUUCAAUGAACACAAUGAACACAGUCGAUGGGUCAGCCUUUUACAGGUCGAUAGAUCUGUUUGAUCAGCACAGGAACAUGAGAAUGAAUAUGGACAACAUUUGCUAUGUGAGUUAUUUUCUGCAGGAAUUACUUGCUUUGGAUUAAAGGAUAGGAAAUGCCAGUACAGUCUUGUCGGAAGUGACAGCUUCAAGGUGCAUGAUGGAGACAGCCUACCUUUUUUCUCAUCAAAUCCAGGAGGAAGGAAACUGUCAUAUGCCCGGUAAAGACUAAUAUCCGUAACCCAGUUUAUACACAAUUCCUGCUGCCAAUAAUCUUGGAAGACUUGGACCAAGAUUACAUUUGUAGGAAGAGUAUAAGGAGAGGGAGAAAUGGGGAAGACUUCCAUGUUAGCUGCAUGUGGAAGCCAAUAAAGAACGGUUGCCCGGUUUGCAACGACUCUGCUUUUAUUGGACCUUAGGAGAAGGCAACGAUUCUUUGUAAUUUAGCUUAGGCUAUUGGUGUCAUUUUGUUCUUUUAAGCUUUUGUUCUUGAAGGGCUAUUAGAAUGUCAGAAUUUGGAAAUAAGCUCAAACUUCUUUAAUUAAGGUCAAUUUGUGGUAAAAGCUCUUUCUCGGAGUCUAGCAGUUGAUGUUGAACUUGAGAUAAGACAUUUUGGA